This is a long non-coding RNA of Pecten maximus, 2569 nucleotides long. RefSeq lists it as uncharacterized. Lineage: Eukaryota; Metazoa; Mollusca; Bivalvia; Pectinida; Pectinidae. The record is from RefSeq and is a predicted model, not a curated record. The transcript has 6 exons.
GCUUUCCUCCACCUCCAAAACCUGGCACGUCCUUAAAUGACCCUGGCUGUUAAUAGGACGUUAAACAAAAACAAACCAAAACAAAACCAAACUCAUCCCACUUCUUAUGUUUUAAAUGCACUUGAAGGUGAAUAAAGGUUUUUAGUGAAAAUUAUCCAGUUUUAAGUGCAAUGACAGGCUGUGAUCAGGAUUUUAGUAAGAAAUGUGUUGUUUGUUACAUGUACAACAGGAUUUUAGCGAGAAAUAUAUUGUUUUCUAGACGUACAACAGGAUUUUAGUGAGAAAUGUGUUGUUUUCUAGACGUACAACAGGAUUUUAGCGAGAAAUAUAUUGUUUUCUAGACGUACAACAGGAUUUUAGUGAGAAAUGUGUUGUUUUCUACAGGUACAACUGUGCAUUGUUUACAUACAUAUAAGCUAUUGUUAUUUACCUACAGAGAUCCUCAGUCAGGACUGAAGUACAAUGACAUCUGUCUGGGUAGAACCACUCGUGACUGUUAUGUCUCACAUAAUGUUUGGGAGCGUUACUCCUUCAACACCUUCAUCCAGCAUUACUUCAGACUUCCUGAUGGCAUUCCAGUGUGGGUCAAGGUCAAGGCCAGCAAUCACUGUCAGUAGUCAAGGCCAGCAAUCACUGUCAGUAGUAAAGGCCAGCAAUCACUGUCAGUAGUCAAGGCCAUCAAUCACUGUCAGUAGUCAAGGCCAUCAAUCACUGUCAGUAGUCAUGGCCAUCAAUCACUGUCAGUAGUCAAGGCCAUCAAUCACUGUCAGUAGUCAAGGCCAUCAAUCACUGUCAGUAGUCAAGGCCAGCAAUCACUGUCAGUAUUCAAGGCCAGCAGUCACUGUCAGUAGUCAAGGCCAUCAAUCACUGUCAGUAGGUCAAGGCCAUCAAUCACUGUCAGUAGGUCAAGGCCAGCAGUCACUGUCAGUAGGUCAAGGCCAUCAAUCACUGUCAGUAGUCAAGACCAGCAAUCACUGUCAGUAGUCAAGGCCAUCAAUCACUGCCAGUAGGUCAAGGCCAUCAAUCACUGUCAGUAGUCAAGGCCAUCAAUCACUGUCAGUAGGUCGAGGCCAGCAAUCACUGUCAGUAGUCAAGGCCAGCAAUCACUGUCAGUAGUCAAGGCCAGCAAUCACUGUCAGUAGGUCAAGGCCAGCAAUCACUGUCAGUAGUCAAUGCCAUCAAUCAUGGUCAGUAGGUCAAGGCCAUGAAUCAUGGUCAGUAGGUCAAGGCCAUCAAUCACUGUCAGUAGUCAAGGCCAUCAAUCAUAGUCAGUAUAGGUCAAGGCCAUCAAUAAUGGUCGGUACGGUCAAAGAGAUCAAAAAGACUUGUUGUCAGGAUGGUGUAUUUGAUAUUUUCUUGUUGCCUGAAAAAGUGACAUUACCUUAAAAGCAUCAGUUUUAUAACCAAACUUUCAAUCUGACUCAAUAUUCAAAGUUGUUUUCCUUAAAAAGGGUUUGUUUGGUAUGGCUUUUCAGAUCUUGAAGUCAAAGGUCAAAGUCACUAAAUAUCUCUAUUCUUCAAAAAUCCAUAUUAAGCAUCUUAUUAUUAUUAGUUUGUAAUGCUGAAUUGUACCUAUAACUAUUUUCUGGAAUUCUUGUUAUUUGUAGAAGUAAUGUGUUAAAACUCCAUCAGACUAAAUGUACUGGUAGUUUAAUGACCUGCACUCUUCUGUCAAAUUUGAAAUUCUGAUUUUAUGUAAGUCUUUACAAGAGAAAUAGUUGAAGCAUCAUACAAAAAUCAAUAGUAUCACUCAAAACUCCAAGUAUUUGAUCAUUUGAUAAUUUAAAUGUUUUCUUACAGUGGACCUUAGACCAAUCAAAGUGGCGAACUCUCAAAUCAUCAUUGACACAUCAAACCCCUUCCCUGGAAGUGUGAAUGACAGCCCCAUAUAUGGGGUUGACCUUCAGUAUACCAAAGACUAUGACCAGCUGUGUGUGAACUGGCAGGGUUUCUACGACCCGGAGUCUGGUAUAGCCUACUACCAAGUGUCUAUGGGGUCUGUGGAUAGUAUCAAUAUUACCUACAUCGCCAAUCUCACCCAGUACACACGCCUCGACCAUGAAGCAUGCGUCGCCCUUGAACCAGAAAAUUACCUGUAGCAUGACAAGGAGUACUUUGUGACUGUGUGGGCCUACAACGGGGGACACAAACAGCUGCCUGUAGCCAAGAUUUCAGAUGGAGUGGUAUGUGAUUUGACGGCCCCUUUUCCUGGUCAGAUUGUCGAUGGCAACAUGGCGAACUUUGAAGAUCAAGUAUACACAGCUGCCCAAGCCAAGGUCGAAGGAACCUGAGAACUUCUAAGAGACUGGACAACAUUUGAUAAUGACACUUUCAGCGUGAAUUGGCUAAACUUUCACUUGAACCAUCGGGAUUGUGUUAAGCUUGUUUUGAACACAACAAACGGUGCCUUAAUCACUAUCCAGAAUGAGACUAAUGGCUGUGUGGUUGACCUCACCCCACCCAAACUGUUAUAUCUAGGGGACGGCGUCAACCCUCGAGAGGACAGACACUUUCAGGGCAACAGACAUGUUCAUCGAGGAGGGGAAAGGCAUGUCGAUAACAAAUAUUG